This 2044-nucleotide long non-coding RNA is filed under the name Lathyrus oleraceus (garden pea). RNAcentral's name for it is "Pisum sativum (pea) long non-coding RNA (PSAT_LNC021870)". Lineage: Eukaryota; Viridiplantae; Streptophyta; Magnoliopsida; Fabales; Fabaceae. The record is from RNAcentral.
UUUCAUCCUAGAAUCUUAAUAUUAAUCAUAUCUUCAUCAUUGUAGCAUCUCAUGAUCAUGCAUGGCCGCCAUUUACUCCAUUAAUCAAGCUUUUGCCAAAUUGGUCAUUAUAGCUUGAACUUGCCUUUCUUACCUUGAAGGUGACUUGCAAUCUUGCCCACCAUGCGUACAUCAAAACCAUGCCAAGUGAAACCUACAAAACAAUGCCAUGACACAUCAAGAAUAUCAAACCAAUGCAUUACCAAACAAAAAGUACAAUUCAUUCAACAAGCAUCAUAUUCAUUACAUGGCAACAUCACUAAUCAACUUAGCAAUAAUUCAAACCCACACCAAGCUAAGUUCAUUACAAAAUCUAAAAUUCAAGCAUAUAUGUAGCAUUGCAUUCAAUUCAUACACAUUCUAACAGCCAUGGUCAGGUUCCAAUCAUUUCAUAAAUCAAAGCAUUUUAAGCAUAGAAAAUGGAGGCAAACUAAUUCGCAUAGUACAUUCAUUACAAUACAUUAGAAGCAACAUGCCACAUCAAUAACAAAACAAGCAUAGAGCCAAUAGUUCAAGCAAAUGUAUAGCAGGUCCAUGUACAUUCAAUAAAGAACCCCACAUGUAACAAAUUCUGCAAUACAAACACCAACAUCAUGUUGCAGCAAACACAUCCAAAUGGCAUUCCACAACAUCAAGCCAAUGCAAGCAGACCUACAACUACUUCCUGUAUCAGCCAAAGCUACUCGACACCACUGCAACAGAGCCAUCAUCCUCAUCAACAUGUAGCCUGCAGUUCAGACAACCAUAACCAAAGGUCCAAAAAUCUGUGGCAGUUGAGGCUGGCAUAGUAAAACCAGUAGUUCAUGAAGUGCACACACAACACAUGCUCAAGCAACCCAUGACAUACAUGGAAAUGAUAAAAAUUCCAAACAAAGCCACAACAGGCCUGCUAUCUAUUAACCACCUGCAUAUUCACUAACAUCAGACCCGUAUUAACAUCCUAAUAUCAUUCACUUGAUUGACCAAAAUCGAGACCUCAUUCACUAACCUACAUUUUUAUCAUAGCCUAAUUAUCAUAACCUAACUAACAAAACAGAGUUUCUAAUCAACAGAACAUUUUUAUCAUAGCCUAACAUUUACAUCAAUUAACUCAAUCUAACAAAAUCAGAACAUAAAACUACUUGCAUCGAAUUCACAAAAUCAGUUACAAUUUCACCAAUCCCAAAGUGCCCUAAACUGACAACUAACUAACCUCACCCUUUAACAACUAACUAUAGUUGAAUUUCUAAACAACUUCCUCUUUCAAUUCACUUACAAAUUAACCCUGCCCAAAAUUCCUAACAACCAUUGCCCGAACUCUACCCCAUUCAGUUAUCAUCAGACCUCUAUAAAUCACAUUCAUUCACCUUCAUUUCAAAAACAACAAUCAUUUGCACAAAAAAUCACAUUGAAUCAACUUCAUCUCUCUCACUGCACUCUCUGAAUUUUCAACCUCUCUCUCUCACCCUCACUAUACGCUUAUCACCAUAGCUGUAGAGCUUCAACAUUAGAAGCUCUAACAGUUGAGCUCAAAUCCUUACUCUCUUCAUAUCACACGACUCACUCACUCAUCGAAGCAACAAGAAGCAACACAGAUCAAGCAACAAGCACCAAUUAUACUAAAGAGGAGGUAGAAGAAGAAGCUAUAAUCCAAACAAGAGUGGAAGAAGAAGGUUACCGGAUAUCCGGUGUCAUCUCCGUUUUCUCCACUGGUGAGUUUUCACUCUUCUUAGCCAAUCGCUUUGUUCUUGUUUCCUUUGUGUAAAGCAUAGCCUGGGGAUCAUCAGCCCCAGACUUUGAUUGUGGAUAUGUGAACAACCACCAUUUAAUUUAUCUUGGAGCCAUUAGGAUUCUUGGAGAUUUCUCUUUGAUUCAGAGCAUUGAUCAUGAAUUUUGUAAAACUGAUAGUGGGACCAUGUUUAUCUCAUUGCCAUGGUUCAGAUGGUGGUGGUAACUUGGUGAUUGGGUGGCCACUGCCACCGGAGGCGACCUCCGGCAUAGUGGUGGAUGGUGGUGGUUCUUUUCC